Molecule: long non-coding RNA, 470 nt
Filed under: Mytilus galloprovincialis (Mediterranean mussel)
Lineage: Eukaryota; Metazoa; Mollusca; Bivalvia; Mytilida; Mytilidae
Source: RNAcentral
UGCGUUUUAAAUGUCGAGUUACUUAGUUUAAAAUUAAAAAAAAUACAAUGUACAUUAUUUGACAGUGAAUUAAAACUAUCGCACAAUCUGGAUAUAGUGUACACUUUUUGGAAAUUUUAUGAACAAUAACUGAACUCAAAUUUUCAACUUUUCAAGACUUAAGAACGUAGUAUUUAAAAACAAAUUUAAACAUACCAUACUAAUUUGAUGUUAUUCUUUUCUCUCACAGUAGCAAUUUAAAUACUUCAGCAAAGUGACAUUCAAACUCAUACAUUGAGAGCCAUGGCAAAAAACGACAAACACUAAUAGACAAACAAUAAUUCAUAAAACACAACAGAAAAAACCAGAGACGGUGUACGUGUAAACAUUGUAACUUCGAUCUUCGUUUCAACAAAAAACAGUCGAAUUUACUAUUUAUAAUAGCAAACUCAAACUUUAAAUUCGUGUAAAAAUCGUGUUUGAUUUAAAAC